This 489-nucleotide ribosomal RNA is filed under the name uncultured bacterium. Its description in RNAcentral is "bacterial SSU rRNA". It matches the Rfam family "Bacterial small subunit ribosomal RNA", at positions 28 to 529 of the family's 1533-position model. The record is from RNAcentral.
GAUGAACGCUAGCGGCAGGCUUAAUACAUGCAAGUCAAGGGGGUAGCAAUACAACCGGCGCACGGGUGAGUAACGCGUACACAACAUACCAUAUACUGGGGUAUAGCUUUGGGAAACUGAAGGUAAUCCCCCAUAACAUUGCGAGAGGGCAUCUGAUUGCAAUUAAAGUUUCGGCGGUAUAUGAUUGGUGUGCGUUUGAUUAGCUAGUUGGUAGGGUAACGGCCUACCAAGGCGACGAUCAAUAGCUGGCGUGAGAGCGCGACCAGCCACACUGGAACUGAGACACGGUCCAGACUCCUACGGGAGGCAGCAGUAGGGAAUAUUGGACAAUGGAGGAAACUCUGAUCCAGCCAUGCCGCGUGAUAGAUGAAGGCCCUCUGGGUUGUAAAUAUCUUUUAUCUGGGAAGAAACAAUCUUAUUCUUAAGAUCUUGACGGUACCAGAGGAAUAAGCACCGGCUAACUCCGUGCCAGCAGCCGCGGUAAACAUA